UACGGAGGAUCCGAGCGUUAUCCGGAUUUAUUGGGUUUAAAGGGUGCGUAGGCGGCCUAUUAAGUCAGGGGUGAAAGACGGUAGCUUAACUAUCGCAGUGCCUUUGAUACUGAUGGGCUUGAAUGUAGUUGAGGCAGGCGGAAUGUGACAAGUAGCGGUGAAAAUGCAUAGAUAUGUCACAGAACACCAAUUGCGAAGGCAGCUUGCUAAAGUACGAUUGACGCUGAGGCACGAAAGCGUGGGGAUCAAACAGG
This 254-nucleotide ribosomal RNA is filed under the name uncultured bacterium. RNAcentral describes it as "partial 16S ribosomal RNA". It matches the Rfam family "Bacterial small subunit ribosomal RNA", at positions 524 to 776 of the family's 1533-position model. The record is from RNAcentral.